ACCUGAAACCUUGUGCUUACAAACAGUCAAAGGCCUACGGGCUGAUGGCGUACUUUUUGUAGAACGGUCCGGCGAGUUACUAAUGCCAGCGAGGUUAAGUACUGAGAAGGUACGGAGCCGAAGGGAAACCAAGUCUGAAUAGGGCGUAGAGUUGGUAUUAGUAGACCCGAAACCGGGUGACCUAUCCAUGUCCAGGUUGAAGGAACCGUAAAAGGUUUUGGAGGACCGAACACACAUGUGUUGAAAAACGUGGUGAUGAGGUGUGGAUAGCGGAGAAAUUCCAAUCGAACUCGGAGAUAGCUGGUUCUCCUCGAAAUAGCUUUAGGGCUAGCCUCGAGCUGGAGUCUAACGGAGGUAAAGCACUGAACUGACGCGGGGCCCAAAAAGGUUACCAACUCAUAUCAAACUAAGAAUGCCGUCAAGAUACCCUCGGGAGUCAGUCUGCGUGAGAUAAGUCGCGUGGACAAAAGGGAAAGAGCCCAGACCGACAGCUAAGGUCCCAAAGUACGUGUUAAGUGGAAAAGGAUGUGGGAUUUCAUAGACAACUAGGAUGUUGGCUUAGAAGCAGCCAUACAUUUAAAGAGUGCGUAAUAGCUCACUAGUCGAGAAAACCUGCGCCGAAAAUGUAACGGGGCUAAAACACGACACCGAAGCUACGGAUUCCUUACAAAGUAAGGAGUGGUAGAGGAGCAUCCUGCAAGGACGAAGCCAAAGUGAGAGCGAUGGUGGACGAAACAGGAGAGAGAAUGCCGGAAUGAGUAGCGAGAUACAUGUGAGAAACAUGUAGGCCGAAUAUCUAAGGAUUCCUGGGUAAAGCUAAUCUUCCCAGGGUUAGUCGGGGCCUAAGGCGAGGACGAAAGUCGUAGUCGAUGGAUAACAGGUUGAUAUUCCUGUACUACACAUAAUCAGAACUGUGGGGACGCAGGAGGAUAGGGAAACCGGGGAAUGGAAAGACCCGGUCAAGCGUAAAGCUGUGGGAGAUAGGCAAAUCCGUCUCUUGUAAGUGAAACGUGAUGAGGACUGAAAAAAAGUAAGGAAGUUUCCGAAUCCACACUGCCGAGAAAAGCCGCUAUUGCGUUAUGUGUACCCGUACCGUAAACCGACACAGGUAGAUGAGGAGAAAAUCCACAGGCCGACGGGAGAAGUGUUGUUAAGGAACUCGGCAAAAUGACCCCGUAACUUCGGGAUAAGGGGAGCCUCGCAAGAGGCCGCAGAAAAGAGGCACAAGCAACUGUUUAGCAAAAACAUAGGUCUAUGCGAAACCGUAAGGUGAAGUAUAUGGGCUGACGCCUGCCCGGUGCUGGAAGGUUAAAAGGAGAGGUCAGCGCAAGCGAAGCUUUGAAUUCAAGCCCCAGUAAACGGCGGCCGUAACUAUAACGGUCCUAAGGUAGCGAAAUUCCUUGUCAGGUAAGUUCUGACCCGCACGAAAGGCGUAAUGAUUUGUGCACUGUCUCGACAACACGCCCGGUGAAAUUGAAGAACCAGUGAAGAUACUGGUUACCCGCAACAGGACGGAAAGACCCCAUGGAGCUUUACUGCAGCCUGAUACUGGGAUUCGAUGAUAUAUGUACAGGAUAGGUGGGAGGCUAAGAAGCGAGAACGCUAGUUUUCGUGGAGCCGCCGGUGGGAUACCACUCUUAUGUCAUUGAAUUUCUAACCUGCAUCCGUAAUCCGGGUGAGGGACAAUGUCAGGCGGGCAGUUUGACUGGGGCGGUCGCCUCCUAAAAGGUAACGGAGGCGCUCGAAGGUCACCUCAGAAUGAUUGGAAACCAUUCAAAGAGUGUAAAGGCAAAAGGUGGCUUGACUGCGAGAGCGACGGCUCGAGCAGGUACGAAAGUAGGACUUAGUGAUCCGGUGGUAAUAAGUGGGAAUGCCAUCGCUCAACGGAUAAAAGCUACCCUG
RNAcentral lists this ribosomal RNA (1902 nucleotides) under human gut metagenome. RNAcentral describes it as "bacterial LSU rRNA". It matches the Rfam family "Bacterial large subunit ribosomal RNA", at positions 548 to 2470 of the family's 2925-position model. The record is from RNAcentral.